AGUGAGUAUGAGAAGGGCAUUCGGUGGAUGCCUUGGCACUAGGAGGCGACGAAGGACGUAGCACGCUGCG
This 70-nucleotide ribosomal RNA is filed under the name Acetobacter pomorum. RNAcentral describes it as "partial 23S ribosomal RNA". The record is from RNAcentral. Lineage: Bacteria; Pseudomonadati; Pseudomonadota; Alphaproteobacteria; Acetobacterales; Acetobacteraceae.